RNAcentral lists this ribosomal RNA (484 nucleotides) under uncultured bacterium. RNAcentral describes it as "partial 16S ribosomal RNA". It matches the Rfam family "Bacterial small subunit ribosomal RNA", at positions 30 to 507 of the family's 1533-position model. The record is from RNAcentral.
AUUGAACGCUGGCGGCAGGCCUAACACAUGCAAGUCGAGCGGAUGAAGGGAGCUUGCCCCUGGAUUCAGCGGCGGACGGGUGAGUAAUGCCUAGGAAUCUGCCUGGUAGUGGGGGAUAACGUCCGGAAACGGGCGCUAAUACCGCAUACGUCCUGCGGGAGAAAGUGGGGGAUCUUCGGACCUCACGCUAUCAGAUGAGCCUAGGUCGGAUUAGCUAGUUGGUGGGGUAAAGGCCUACCAAGGCGACGAUCCGUAACUGGUCUGAGAGGAUGAUCAGUCACACUGGAACUGAGACACGGUCCAGACUCCUACGGGAGGCAGCAGUGGGGAAUAUUGGACAAUGGGCGAAAGCCUGAUCCAGCCAUGCCGCGUGUGUGAAGAAGGUCUUCGGAUUGUAAAGCACUUUAAGUUGGGAGGAAGGGCAGUAAGUUAAUACCUUGCUGUUUUGACGUUACCAACAGAAUAAGCACCGGCUAACUUCGUG